AUCUUUCUAUCUUUUUUUACUUUACUUUUCUUUCUCAUUUUUUCAUUUUUCAAGUGAGUUGUGUAAGGAUUUGAGAGCAGUCCAUUUGGCCAUUGGAGGAGCAUUUUGGCUUGAUUGCUAUAGCAAGGAGUGAAGCAAAAAAGAGGAGCAAGGCUCGAAGAACCAUUGAAAACGGCUUUGCAAUUCUUUCCCUUUAGUUUUUAAUUUCUUGUUGUUCAAUUUAAGAAAUCAUGUUUGCAACUGAAUUUAUUGAUUUUAAUAUAAUUAUG
RNAcentral lists this long non-coding RNA (269 nucleotides) under Gossypium raimondii (Peruvian cotton). RNAcentral's name for it is "long non-coding RNA (GRAI_LNC005188)". The record is from RNAcentral. Lineage: Eukaryota; Viridiplantae; Streptophyta; Magnoliopsida; Malvales; Malvaceae.